ACUAGUGAUUUCCGUAGUUGAACCUGCGGAAGGAUCAUUCGCACAAAAUGUUCUUUCACACCCGCCACACACCAUAUUGAUACCCCCUGUUUUAAAAAAGGACGCCUUGUCCAUCUCAUCGAUGUUGCAACUUCAUUGUAACGUUUACGAUGUAAUCUAUCUCUUGCAACGACGAAUGCCUUGGCUCGAGGAUCGUUGAAGGACGCAGCGAACUGUGUUACACAUCUCGAAUUGCAGAUUUCCGAGAAAGAUAAGGAUUCUGAACGCAUUCUGCGAGUUGGGCUUGCUCAACUCACGUGGUUGGCGGUGAUCGCAAUAUACAGUCGUUCAAACUCUGAAGUUUGAAUGGUUAUCUUGUGUUGUCGUUUGUAAAAACGCCGACGCAAUCGAAGUAGAAGCGUGUCUCAUAACUUCGAGCACCGAUUGUAACUUUCAGUUCAUUCGUGUUUAAGUUUUGUGACGAGCAACAGUUUGAGUAAUCAAAUUAUUUUUCUCGCACGCUCACGACCAAUCACGGGAUUACCCGCUGAAUUUAAGCAUAUCAAUA
This 547-nucleotide ribosomal RNA is filed under the name uncultured eukaryote. RNAcentral describes it as "eukaryotic LSU rRNA". The stretch from base 161 to 312 matches the Rfam family "5.8S ribosomal RNA". The record is from RNAcentral.